CACAAAUCAGAUCAGGAGUCCUAUGAGAAAGUCCUCUUACUUUAGACUUGAGAAUUAUCAGGCAUGAACUAGACAAGGAGCAGAGGUUGUGACUCCGACAGUGUGCUAGACAGGGAGAGCAGUACUCCAAGGCUGAGAGACUGGAGUGAGAUUCAUUCCAUUACCUUAAAGCAUCUCCCUGCUGAAAGUAGGGGUUGAGGCAGGACAUGGAAAGAUGUGGAGCUGGGGGGCAAGGUCAAAACUGCAAACAAAAGAAAAAGCAGGUUUAUUUGGGGGUGGUUGUGCACGUCUUUAAUCCCAGCACUUGGGAGGCAGAGGCAGGCAGAUCUCUGAGUUCAAGACCAGCCUGGUCUAUAGAGUGGGUUCCAGGACAGCCAGGGCUACAAGGAAAAACUCUGUCCCAAAAAACCAUGGAUGGAUGGAUGGAGAUGGAUGGAUGGAGAGAGAGAGAGAGAGAGAGAGAGAGAGAGAGAGAGAGAGAGAGAGAGAGAGAGAAAAUUUGCAAACAGAAA
RNAcentral lists this long non-coding RNA (512 nucleotides) under Rattus norvegicus (Norway rat). Its description in RNAcentral is "long non-coding RNA NONRATT018718". The record is from RNAcentral. Lineage: Eukaryota; Metazoa; Chordata; Mammalia; Rodentia; Muridae.